This 372-nucleotide ribosomal RNA is filed under the name uncultured bacterium. RNAcentral describes it as "partial 16S ribosomal RNA". It matches the Rfam family "Bacterial small subunit ribosomal RNA", at positions 338 to 724 of the family's 1533-position model. The record is from RNAcentral.
CCUACGGGAGGCAGCAGUGGGGAAUUUUGGGCAAUGGGCGCAAGCCUGACCCAGCAACGCCGCGUGAAGGACGAAGGCUUUCGGGUUGUAAACUUCUUUUCUCAGGGACGAAGCUAGUGACGGUACCUGAGGAAUAAGCCACUGCUAACUACGUGCCAGCCGCAGCGGUAAUGCGUAGGUGGCAAGCGUUAUCCGGCGUUACUGGGUGUAAAGGGCGUGUAGGCGGGAAAGCAAGUCGGAUGUGAAAACCGUGGGCUCAACCUGUGGCCUGCAGUUGAAACUGUUGUUCUGGAGUACUGUAGAGGCAGACGGAAUUUCUAGUGUAGCGGUGAAAUGCGUAGAUAUGAGGAGGAACACCAGUGGCGAAGGCGG